CAAAAAUAAAUUUCCAAAUUUUCAUUCAUAUACAUGCUACAAAAUUCAAAAAAAAUCCUUGAAUUUAUAAACAUACUUUUAUUUUUCAAAAUUUAAAUCCACUAAAUUUAUCAUCUACUUUUAAAAAUCUCUCAAAAUCUCAAUAUUAAUAUAAAUGAUGUGAAACUAAUUCUUAAAAAUCUCUCCUUAAGUCUGCUUCUAAAUUCCACUCUUUAAUUUGCAAAAGAACCUUGGAGCUACCAUAGAUGCAUAGUUUUGUGCCUUAGGAUCUAAUUUCGACCUAGUUUGAC
RNAcentral lists this long non-coding RNA (290 nucleotides) under Physcomitrium patens. RNAcentral describes it as "long non-coding RNA (PPAT_LNC006768)". The record is from RNAcentral. Lineage: Eukaryota; Viridiplantae; Streptophyta; Bryopsida; Funariales; Funariaceae.